AAAUAAUUAUAUAGUUAUCCUUGGGCGAUCUUGAAUCUUAAUUAGUACACUCACGUUCCCUGUGGAAAAUCGAUACUCUGGAAUACUCCCGGGUGAAAGCUACAUCGGUAUCCGUGCGCUUGCGGAUUUUUUCUGUUUGCGUUUAAAAUACCCAACACGCCCGCCCUGCUCUGGCAGCCAAUUAGGCUCCGCCUCGAGGAUUAUGCUCCACCGCCUUUGAGGAUCAAGGAAAACCGUGCGAUUAAGGUCGGUUUGGUCCAACGGCCACGUUCAUUUGGAAGGGCUAUAUAAGCUGGCCCCCUGGCCCCUGGAGAGGACACCUCUGCUUCCCUAUUCAUUAUUCAUAGACAGAGCAAAAGCUGCGGUUUGGAGAUGAGAGCUCUCCACUCUUCUCUAAACUAGAGUAGAUCUAGAUAGUAGCGAGAUGGAGAGUGAGGGAGGAUUGGAUGAGAGGCCGACCUGUCGGUUCUUCCUCCGGUUGUACUUCGGCAUGAUCAAGCUCUAAUCAAGCUUGCUCAUGGGAUGACUCUGGUAAUCUACUUCUUAUUUCAUUACGCAAUUAUUAUCCAUGUAUGUUCUAGUUCAAAACUCUUUUGAGUACUUUAAUCUAUAGGACGCUAUAGGUGAGAGUUGUAGUAUAGGUGUAAGCGUGGUGCUUAGACCUAGAUUACUUGUGGAUAUCCCCUGUUAGCCGGAUCGUGUGGUAGGCCGCGUAGGUGACAGCUACGAUGGUCCUCUGUAGUCCACCUCCUGUUAGCGGG
This 761-nucleotide long non-coding RNA is filed under the name Sorghum bicolor (sorghum). RNAcentral describes it as "long non-coding RNA (SBIC_LNC002699)". The record is from RNAcentral. Lineage: Eukaryota; Viridiplantae; Streptophyta; Magnoliopsida; Poales; Poaceae.